GGGGAUGUAGCUCAGUGGUAGAGUGCUUGCAAAGUAUGUGAAAGGCUCUGGGUUCUAGCCCCAGUACCUCCA
Molecule: transfer RNA, 72 nt
Filed under: Neotoma lepida (desert woodrat)
Lineage: Eukaryota; Metazoa; Chordata; Mammalia; Rodentia; Cricetidae
Rfam family: tRNA
About the family: Transfer RNA (tRNA) molecules are approximately 80 nucleotides in length.
Source: Rfam by way of RNAcentral